Molecule: ribosomal RNA, 498 nt
Filed under: uncultured bacterium
Lineage: Bacteria
Description: partial 16S ribosomal RNA
Rfam family: Bacterial small subunit ribosomal RNA
Source: RNAcentral
AUUGAACGCUGGCGGCAUGCCUUACACAUGCAAGUCGAACGGUAACGCGGGGCAACCUGGCGACGAGUGGCGAACGGGUGAGUAAUGUAUCGGAACGUGCCCAGUUGUGGGGGAUAACUGCUCGAAAGAGCAGCUAAUACCGCAUACGACCUGAGGGUGAAAGCGGGGGAUCGCAAGACCUCGCGCAAUUGGAGCGGCCGAUAUCAGAUUAGGUAGUUGGUGGGGUAAAGGCCCACCAAGCCAACGAUCUGUAGCUGGUCUGAGAGGACGACCAGCCACACUGGGACUGAGACACGGCCCAGACUCCUACGGGAGGCAGCAGUGGGGAAUUUUGGACAAUGGACGCAAGUCUGAUCCAGCCAUGCCGCGUGCGGGAAGAAGGCCUUCGGGUUGUAAACCGCUUUUGUCAGGGAAGAAACGCUCUGGGUUAAUACCUCGGGGUAAUGACGGUACCUGAAGAAUAAGCACCGGCUAACUACGUGCCAGCCGCCGCCGUAA